RNAcentral lists this ribosomal RNA (397 nucleotides) under Rhaphoneis amphiceros. Its description in RNAcentral is "partial small subunit ribosomal RNA". It matches the Rfam family "Eukaryotic small subunit ribosomal RNA", at positions 30 to 432 of the family's 1831-position model. The record is from RNAcentral. Lineage: Eukaryota; Bacillariophyta; Plagiogrammaphyceae; Rhaphoneidales; Rhaphoneidaceae.
GCUUGUCUCAAAGAUUAAGCCAUGCAUGUCUAAGUAUAAACGAUUAUACAGUGAAACUGCGAAUGGCUCAUUAUAUCAGUUAUAAUUUAUUUGAUAGUACCUUACUACUUGGAUAACUGUGGUAAUUCUAGAGCUAAUACAUGCAAAAAAACCCGACUUCUGGAAGGGUUGUAUUUAUUAGAUUGAAACCAACCGCUUCGGCGUGAUGUGGUGAUUCAUAAUAAAUUUGCGAAUCGCAUGGCUUUACGCCGGCGAUGGAUCAUUCAAGUUUCUGCCCUAUCAGCUUUGGAUGGUAGGGUAUUGGCCUACCAUGGCUUUAACGGGUAACGGAGAAUUAGGGUUCGAUUCCGGAGAGGGAGCCUGAGAAAUGGCUACCACAUCCAAGGAAGGCAGCAGG